This 427-nucleotide ribosomal RNA is filed under the name uncultured bacterium. RNAcentral describes it as "partial 16S ribosomal RNA". It matches the Rfam family "Bacterial small subunit ribosomal RNA", at positions 355 to 774 of the family's 1533-position model. The record is from RNAcentral.
UGGGGAAUAUUGCACAAUGGGCGCAAGCCUGAUGCAGCCAUGCCGCGUGUGUGAAGAAGGCCUUCGGGUUGUAAAGCACUUUCAGCGAGGAGGAAGGUGGUGGACUUAAUACGUUCAUCAAUUGACGUUACUCGCAGAAGAAGCACCGGCUAACUCCGUGCCAGCAGCCGCGGUAAUACGGAGGGUGCAAGCGUUAAUCGGAAUUACUGGGCGUAAAGCGCACGCAGGCGGUUUGUUAAGUCAGAUGUGAAAUCCCCGGGCUCAACCUGGGAACUGCAUUGAAACUGGCAAGCUAGAGUCUCGUAGAGGGGGGUAGAAUGUCCAGGUGUAGCGGUGAAAUGCGUAGAGAUCUGGAGGAAUACCGGUGGCGAAGGCGGCCCCCUGGANGAAGACUGACGCUCAGGUGCGAAAGCGUGGGGAGCAAACA